This 467-nucleotide ribosomal RNA is filed under the name uncultured bacterium. Its description in RNAcentral is "partial 16S ribosomal RNA". It matches the Rfam family "Bacterial small subunit ribosomal RNA", at positions 28 to 507 of the family's 1533-position model. The record is from RNAcentral.
GACGAACGCUGGCGGCGUGCUUAACACAUGCAAGUCGAACGGAAAGGCCCUGCUUUUGUGGGGUGCUCGAGUGGCGAACGGGUGAGUAACACGUGAGUAACCUGCCCUUGACUUUGGGAUAACUUCAGGAAACUGGGGCUAAUACCGGAUAGGAGCUCUGCUGCAUGGUGGGGGUUGGAAAGUUUCGGCGGUUGGGGAUGGACUCGCGGCUUAUCAGCUUGUUGGUGGGGUAGUGGCUUACCAAGGCUUUGACGGGUAGCCGGCCUGAGAGGGUGACCGGCCACAUUGGGACUGAGAUACGGCCCAGACUCCUACGGGAGGCAGCAGUGGGGAAUAUUGCACAAUGGGCGGAAGCCUGAUGCAGCAACGCCGCGUGCGGGAUGACGGCCUUCGGGUUGUAAACCGCUUUCGCCUGUGACGAAGCGUGAGUGACGGUAAUGGGUAAAGAAGCACCGGCUAACUACGUG